Molecule: transfer RNA, 90 nt
Filed under: Bacillus sp. MUM 116
Lineage: Bacteria; Bacillati; Bacillota; Bacilli; Caryophanales; Bacillaceae
Rfam family: tRNA
About the family: Transfer RNA (tRNA) molecules are approximately 80 nucleotides in length.
Source: Rfam by way of RNAcentral
GGAGGAAUACCCAAGUCCGGCUGAAGGGAUCGGUCUUGAAAACCGACAGGCGGGUUAAACCACGCGGGGGUUCGAAUCCCUCUUCCUCCG